RNAcentral lists this ribosomal RNA (202 nucleotides) under uncultured bacterium. Its description in RNAcentral is "partial 16S ribosomal RNA". It matches the Rfam family "Bacterial small subunit ribosomal RNA", at positions 524 to 725 of the family's 1533-position model. The record is from RNAcentral.
UACGUAAGGGGCUAGCGUUGUCCGGAUUUAUUGGCGUAAAGAGCGUGUAGGCGGCCAGGUAGGUCUGGUGUGAAAACUCGAGGCUUAACCUCGAGAUGUCAUCGGAAACCAUUUGGCUAGAGUCCGGAAGAGGAGAGUGGAAUUCCUGGUGUAGCGGUGAAAUGCGCAGAUAUCAGGAGGAACACCGGUGGCGAAGGCGGGC